AACAUCGCCUCCUGCAAAAAUCAAUGUAUAGGAGGUCCUGCCUGCCCAGUGACAACUUGUUAAACGGCCGCGGUAUUUUGACCGUGCUAAGGUAGCGCAAUCACUUGUCUUUUAAAUGAAGACCUGUAUGAAUGGUGGAACGAGGGCUUAGCUGUCUCCCUUCUCCCGUCAAUGAAAUUGAUCUGCCCGUGCAGAAGCGGACAUGUAUAUACAAGACGAGAAGACCCUUUGGAGCUUAUUGGGGCGACCGCGGGGGAAAACAAAGCCCCCACGUAAAACCGAGAGAGACAUCUCUAAGCCACAGAAUAUCUGACCAAAAGAUCCGGCCCACAAGCCGAUCAACGAACCAAGUUACCCUAGGGAUAACAGCGCAAUCCUUUCCAAGAGUUCAUAUCGACGAAAGGGUUUACGACCUCGAUGUUGGAUCAGGACAUCCUAAUGGUGCAGCCGCUAUUAAGGGUUCGUUUGUUCAACGAUUAAAGUCCUACGUGA
RNAcentral lists this ribosomal RNA (492 nucleotides) under Cyphocharax vanderi. RNAcentral's name for it is "partial 16S ribosomal RNA". It matches the Rfam family "Bacterial large subunit ribosomal RNA", at positions 1812 to 2603 of the family's 2925-position model. Lineage: Eukaryota; Metazoa; Chordata; Actinopteri; Characiformes; Curimatidae. The record is from RNAcentral.